AGAAGCCCUUUGGGGUUUUAAAAGUCUUUUCAGCCGUGAGGAAGGGGGGUUCGUUAAUAGCGGCAUCUCUUGACGUUAGCUGCAGAAGAAGCACCGGGUUAAUUCCGUGCCAGCAGCCGCGGUAAUACGGAGGGUGCGAGCGUUAAUCGGAAUUACUGGGCGUAAAGCGCAUGCAGGUGGUUUGUUAAGUCAGAUGUGAGAGCCCGGGGCUCAACCUCGGAACUGCAUUUGAAACUGGCAAACUAGAGUACUGUAGAGGGGGGUAGAAUUUCAGGUGUAGCGGUGAAAUGCGUAGAGAUCUGAAGGAAUACCAGUGGCGAAGGCGGCCCCCUGGACAGAUACUGACACUCAGAUGCGAAAGCGUGGGGAGCAAACAGGAUUAGAUACCCUGGUAGUCCACGCCGUAAACGAUGUCUACUUGGAGGUUGUGGCCUUGAGCCGUGGCUUUCGGAGCUAACGCGUUAAGUAGACCGCCUGGGGGGUACGGUCGCAAGAUUAAAACUCAAAUGAAUUGACGGGGGCCCGCACAAGCGGUGGAGCAUGUGGUUUAAUUCGAUGCAACGCGAAGAACCUUACCUACUCUUGACAUCCAGAGAACUUUCCAGAGAUGGAUUGGUGCCUUCGGGAACUCUGAGACAGGUGCUGCAUGGCUGUCGUCAGCUCGUGUUGUGAAAUGUUGGGUUAAGUCCCGCAACGAGCGCAACCCUUAUCCUUGUUUGCCAGCGAGUAAUGUCGGGAACUCCAGGGAGACUGCCGGUGAUAAACCGGAGGAAGGUGGGGACGACGUCAAGUCAUCAUGGCCCUUACGAGUAGGGCUACACACGUGCUACAAUGGCGCAUACAGAGGGCAGCCAACUCGCGAGAGUGAGCGAAUCCCAAAAAGUGCGUCGUAGUCCGGAUUGGAGACUGCAACUCGACUCCAUGAAGUCGGAAUCGCUAGUAAUCGUAGAUCAGAAUGCUACGGUGAAUACGUUCCCGGGCCUUGUACACACCGCCCGUCACACCAUGGGAGUGGGCUGCAAAAGAAGUGGGUAGUUUAACCUUCGGGAGGACGCUCACCACUUUGUGGUUCAUGACUGGGGUGAAGUCGUAACAAGGUAGCCGU
Molecule: ribosomal RNA, 1105 nt
Filed under: uncultured bacterium
Lineage: Bacteria
Description: bacterial SSU rRNA
Rfam family: Bacterial small subunit ribosomal RNA
Source: RNAcentral